Molecule: ribosomal RNA, 484 nt
Filed under: uncultured bacterium
Lineage: Bacteria
Description: partial 16S ribosomal RNA
Rfam family: Bacterial small subunit ribosomal RNA
Source: RNAcentral
AUUGAACGCUGGCGGCAGGCCUAACACAUGCAAGUCGAGCGGAUGAAGGGAGCUUGCUCCUGGAUUCAGCGGCGGACGGGUGAGUAAUGCCUAGGAAUCUGCCUGGUAGUGGGGGAUAACGUCCGGAAACGGGCGCUAAUACCGCAUACGUCCUGAGGGAGAAAGUGGGGGAUCUUCGGACCUCACGCUAUCAGAUGAGCCUAGGUCGGAUUAGCUAGUUGGUGGGGUAAAGGCCUACCAAGGCGACGAUCCGUAACUGGUCUGAGAGGAUGAUCAGUCACACUUGGACAGGGACACCGGCCCAACCCCUUCGGGGGGGAGCGGGUGGGGAAUUUUGGCAAUGGGGGGAAACCCUGUCCCACCCAGGCCGGGGGGGGGAAGAAGUGUUUCGGUUUUUAAAGCCUUUUAAGUUGGGGGGAGGGGCAGUAAGUUAAUCCCUUGCUUUUUUGGCGUUCCCAAAAGAAUAAGCCCCGGCUAACUGCUU